This 1343-nucleotide ribosomal RNA is filed under the name uncultured bacterium. RNAcentral's name for it is "16S ribosomal RNA". It matches the Rfam family "Bacterial small subunit ribosomal RNA", at positions 28 to 1378 of the family's 1533-position model. The record is from RNAcentral.
GACGAACGCUGGCGGCGUGCUUAACACAUGCAAGUCGAACGGAAAGGCCCUGCUUUUGUGGGGUGCUCGAGUGGCGAACGGGUGAGUAACACGUGAGUAACCUGCCCUUGACUUUGGGAUAACUUCAGGAAACUGGGGCUAAUACCGGAUAGGAGCUCCUGCUGCAUGGUGGGGGUUGGAAAGUUUCGGCGGUUGGGGAUGGACUCGCGGCUUAUCAGCUUGUUGGUGGGGUAGUGGCUUACCAAGGCUUUGACGGGUAGCCGGCCUGAGAGGGUGACCGGCCACAUUGGGACUGAGAUACGGCCCAGACUCCUACGGGAGGCAGCAGUGGGGAAUAUUGCACAAUGGGCGGAAGCCUGAUGCAACAACGCCGCGUGCGGGAUGACGGCCUUCGGGUUGUAAACCGCUUUCGCCUGUGACGAAGCGUGAGUGACGGUAAUGGGUAAAGAAGCACCGGCUAACUACGUGCCAGCAGCCGCGGUGAUACGUAGGGUGCGAGCGUUGUCCGGAUUUAUUGGGCGUAAAGGGCUCGUAGGUGGUUGAUCGCGUCGGAAGUGUAAUCUUGGGGCUUAACCCUGAGCGUGCUUUCGAUACGGGUUGACUUGAGGAAGGUAGGGGAGAAUGGAAUUCCUGGUGGAGCGGUGGAAUGCGCAGAUAUCAGGAGGAACACCAGUGGCGAAGGCGGUUCUCUGGGCCUUUCCUGACGCUGAGGAGCGAAAGCGUGGGGAGCGAACAGGCUUAGAUACCCUGGUAGUCCACGCUGUAAACGGUGGGUACUAGGUGUGGGGUCCAUUCCACGGGUUCCGUGCCGUAGCUAACGCUUUAAGUACCCCGCCUGGGGAGUACGGCCGCAAGGCUAAAACUCAAAGGAAUUGACGGGGCCCCGCACAAGCGGCGGAGCAUGCGGAUUAAUUCGAUGCAACGCGUAGAACCUUACCUGGGUUUGACAUGGAUCGGGAGUGCUCAGAGAUGGGUGUGCCUCUUUUGGGGUCGGUUCACAGGUGGUGCAUGGCUGUCGUCAGCUCGUGUCGUGAGAUGUUGGGUUAAGUCCCGCAACGAGCGCAACCCUUGUUCACUGUUGCCAGCACGUUAUGGUGGGGACUCAGUGGAGACCGCCGGGGUCAACUCGGAGGAAGGUGGGGAUGACGUCAAGUCAUCAUGCCCCUUAUGUCCAGGGCUUCACGCAUGCUACAAUGGCUGGUACAGAGAGUGGCGAGCCUGUGAGGGUGAGCGAAUCUCGGAAAGCCGGUCUCAGUUCGGAUUGGGGUCUGCAACACGACCUCAUGAAGUCGGAGUCGCUAGUAAUCGCAGAUCAGCAACGCUGCGGUGAAUACGUUCCCGGG